Non-coding RNA from Salmo salar (Atlantic salmon), 868 nucleotides. The record is from RefSeq and is a predicted model, not a curated record. Lineage: Eukaryota; Metazoa; Chordata; Actinopteri; Salmoniformes; Salmonidae.
UGGCUGUGGUAACUUGUGACGCCCGUAACACCAUGCGCAGAGUUGCCCAGAGCUACUCCUCAAUAAUAACUUACAAGUGAUAACCUAAUAAUACAGUAUUAUAAUUAAUCAUUAAUUAAGGAGAAAAUGGAGUUCAUGUAAUUUUGUAAUUUUGACUGAAGUGGAGAUAGCUAUGAGUUAACUGACCAUAUCACUGAAUAGAUUCCAUCCUCCCCUGCCUUGUGACCUGUGGACAAGUUUGAGUUUCGGUUGGCUCAACUGAAGAUACAUGAUGCACUUGAUCUGUCAACGUGUCUUAUUGUGCUUCAUGCGCUUGAAACUGCACAGGAUAGAGGUCAGGGAUUUGGGCAGGCUUUGUUAAACUCCCCAUAUGCUCUAUGUUUGUAUACUUCGCAUAUUACAAUGGUCAUUAAUAAUAUAUGUAUUUUAUAUAGAGCUUUUCCUUACAUGAAGAACCUCAAACGCUUUAAAAACGAAACAAAAAAAUCAAAAAUAAUUCAUUUAUUGAUGGUAGGACGUUCAUGUGUUGGCUGGACAAUGAUCUUAUACGGUGGCGGCGUGUCCAGAGGACAUCAACUCAAGCAUAGGAAUAGCUGAGCUUUUUUUCCACAGUUGGAGAAAUCUAGGGCGUAUCCUCCCCUAAACUCUUGGAGAUGUCUCCAAAACAGCACCGUUGCCAUGAUUCCCACGCUCCCCCUACCUUGGGCUUCCAGUGGGGAGACCUGAGGUCAACCUCCCCCCACACCCCUCCCCAUCUCGUAAUUCUGAGUGGGAGACCUUCCCAAGCAGUAGCCUGCCUAGAUCACAAACUUGUAAGGACCGACGCUGGAGUCGAGAAACAGGUACGGGGAGUCAAACAUUUUAUUGG